AGGACGAACGCUGGCGGCGUGCUUAACACAUGCAAGUCGAACGGAAAGGCCCGCUUGCGGGUACUCGAGUGGCGAACGGGUGAGUAACACGUGGGCAACCUGCCCUCAGCUUCGGGAUAACACUUGGAAACAGGUGCUAAUACCGGAUAAUAACCUUUCAUCGCAUGGUGUGGGGUUCAAAGUUUUUCGGCUAGGGAUGGACUCGCGGCCUAUCAGCUAGUUGGUGAGGUAACGGCCCACCAAGGCGACGACGGGUAGCCGGCCUGAGAGGGCGACCGGCCACACUGGGACUGAGACACGGCCCAGACUCCUACGGGAGGCAGCAGUGGGGAAUAUUGCGCAAUGGGCGAAAGCCUGACGCAGCGACGCCGCGUGGGGGAUGAAUGCCUUCGGGUUGUAACCCCUUUCAGCAGGGACGAAGCGAAAGUGACGGUACCUGCAGAAGAAGCGCCGGCUAACUACGUGCCAGCAGCCGC
RNAcentral lists this ribosomal RNA (476 nucleotides) under uncultured bacterium. Its description in RNAcentral is "SSU rRNA". It matches the Rfam family "Bacterial small subunit ribosomal RNA", at positions 26 to 518 of the family's 1533-position model. The record is from RNAcentral.